Molecule: ribosomal RNA, 392 nt
Filed under: uncultured bacterium
Lineage: Bacteria
Description: partial 16S ribosomal RNA
Rfam family: Bacterial small subunit ribosomal RNA
Source: RNAcentral
AUACGGAGGAUCCGAGCGUUAUCCGGAUUUAUUGGGUUUAAAGGGUGCGCAGGCGGGAGAUUAAGUCGGCGGUGAAAUUUUGCAGCUCCACUGUAAAAGAGCCCUUGCAAACGGGUUUCCUUAGUGUAGAUGGAGGAGGCGGAAUUUGUGGGGGAGCGGUGAAAUGCAUAGAUAUCACGAGGAACUCCGAUUGCGCAGGCAGCUUACUAAACUACUACUGACGCUCAGGCACGAAGGCGUGGGAUCAAACAGGAUUAGAUACCCUGGUAGUCCACGCAGUAAACGAUGAUUACUAGCUGUUUGCGAUACAAUGUAAGCGGCUGAGCGAAAGCGUUAAGUAAUCCACCUGGGGAGUACGUUCGCAAGAAUGAAACUCAAAGGAAUUGACGGGG